UAACCUGGAGGAAGGUGGGGAUGACGUCAAAUCAUCAUGCCCCUUAUGCUUAGGGCUACACACGGGCUACAAUGGGUAGUACAGAGGGUUGCCAAGCCGUAAGGCGGAGCUAAUCCCUUAAAGCUACGCUCAGUUCGGAUUGUAGGCUGAAACUCGCCUACAUGAAGCUGGAGUUACUAGUAAUCGCAGAUCAGAAUGCUGCGGUGAAUGCGUUCCCGGGUCUUGUACACAC
RNAcentral lists this ribosomal RNA (232 nucleotides) under Clostridioides difficile. RNAcentral's name for it is "partial 16S ribosomal RNA". It matches the Rfam family "Bacterial small subunit ribosomal RNA", at positions 1159 to 1390 of the family's 1533-position model. The record is from RNAcentral. Lineage: Bacteria; Bacillati; Bacillota; Clostridia; Peptostreptococcales; Peptostreptococcaceae.